Molecule: long non-coding RNA, 1108 nt
Filed under: Gallus gallus (chicken)
Lineage: Eukaryota; Metazoa; Chordata; Aves; Galliformes; Phasianidae
Description: lncRNA (ENSGALG00010006360.1)
Source: RNAcentral
GGAAAUGAUAGGCUGCUUUCAAAGCAGCUUCAUCAAAAGCAAACACUGGGCAAACGAAGUGGAAAAUAAAUAACAUGCAUAAUCAGCGAUAAGGAGCCCAGAAGCCAUGUGUCGCAGCAGAGCCAUUGGCAAAAGAGAGCCUCCUGUCACAGAAGAGUGGUAGCGGCCGGCGGAGCACCGCUGUUGUGCAGACCUCAACGGAGAAAAGUUGGAAUAAUUUUGAAGAAAGGACGAAGGAAAAGGCAAUAAGCUAAACCCAGCUUUCAACAGAUUGAAUUUACAUCAGCUGCUUCAGAGACUUGUAUAAUUUGUGUUGUGAGGGAGAAGGAGUUCGUUCCUGUGGCAGGUGCUUCCUACAUCUCUGUUCCUCUUUGCCUAUGGAUACUUAAUGGCAUGUAGAUAUUUCAACAAGAGAACACAACGUACGGCUGAUCCAUGUCAAAGAAGGCUAAUGCAGCUCACCCACAUAAAUUACAGGAAGUGUUUCAAAAGAAAACCCUUCAUGCUUUUCCUGCUUCAAAGUGGCUGAGAUGCAGAUCUUGCUUUUCUCUGCUUUAUUCAGAAUAUUUAUGGAUAUGUUUACUUACUAAUGAAAUUCCUUAAAAGCAGACAUAAGACCUGCUUCCAUUCUCCAAACCACUUACAGCCAAGAUCCUGUUGAGGCUGAUGACUAAGGACUGCGACUCGUCUGCUCCUCACAGAGAGCUUUGGUUUUGGCCGAGCUGAAGGCCUGGCUCUGUUCCUGGCCUCUGAGCACCAGCAGACUUUGCAGCUCAGACUUCCAGAAACACAGGCUGCUCCCUCCAGCCUGGGAGCAAAACAGUGGCAUGGCAGCUCUACAAGGACUUCCCUUCAUUUCAUUCCACAAGUUUCUUUGGAAGUGGCCUGUUGUCCUCUCCACGUUCUCAUGGCAGCUGGCCCUGGUGUGGAGACCUCUCUUGGGUUUCUUCUCUUGUCCUCUGAAGCUGCUGCCGUUAGAAUUUCUUCAGGAGAGGAUACUGGACCAGAGAAAAACACAGGAACUGCACUUUCAGAGCAGCUUAAAAACUUUGCGGAAUGCAGUAGGAAUAGAUUUGUAGCCAAGUCUCAGCACAACUUUCAGAACUGC